UGGGGAAUAUUGCACAAUGGGCGAAAGCCUGAUGCAGCGACGCCGCGUGAGGGAUGACGGCCUUCGGGUUGUAAACCUCUUUCAGCAGGGACGAAGCGCAAGUGACGGUACCUGCAGAAGAAGCACCGGCUAACUACGAGCCAGCACCCGCGGAAAUACGUAGGGUGCAGGCGUUGUCCGGAAUGACUGGGCGUAAGGAGUUCGUAGGCGGUGUGUUGCGUCGUUUGUGAAAGCCAGCAGCUCAACUGCUGGCUUGCAGGCGAUACGGGCAGACUUGAGUACUGCAGCGGAGACUGGAAGUCCUGGUGUAGCUGUAGAAUGCGCAGAUAUCAGGAGGAGCACCAGUGGCGAAGGCGGGUCUCUCGGCAGUAACUGACGCUGAGGAACGAAAGCGUGGGUAGCGAACAGG
Molecule: ribosomal RNA, 409 nt
Filed under: bacterium
Lineage: Bacteria
Description: partial 16S ribosomal RNA
Rfam family: Bacterial small subunit ribosomal RNA
Source: RNAcentral